This 591-nucleotide long non-coding RNA is filed under the name Lactuca sativa (garden lettuce). RNAcentral describes it as "long non-coding RNA (LSAT_LNC007164)". The record is from RNAcentral. Lineage: Eukaryota; Viridiplantae; Streptophyta; Magnoliopsida; Asterales; Asteraceae.
CAACACUUCAACUUGAUCACCCGUGUUAACAAAAAUAGUAUUGUUUUUCGAAGGUGGUAUAUUUACCCAUUUGCCCUCUUUUAAAAACUCAAGACCAGGCACCUGGUCAUCUUGUAGCAAUAGAAUGAUGCCACCGGCAUCCGUGUGUUCACGAAGACCUCUUACGAGUUCUGGGUGAGGGCAUUUUGGGUAUUUCGCCACUUUUGUCCCCACCGAAGGACCUUUGGUUCCUGAAAAAGCCAUUUUCAUGUGGUCUUUUUCUAGACCAAGAUUCUCACACAUGAGUUCAGAAAGCUUCUCGGCUACUUUUAUAAGUUGAUCAAUGUACUCAUCGAUUGUUUUUCUGCAUGUAUUCGUUAUAUAAAUAUAAAAUCUUAUUUUUUUUUUAUAUAUAAAUAGAAGUAAUGAUUUCCCUUUUGUUUAUAAAAAUAACUUACCGAAGUUCUUCAGAAAGGUUAGUGUACUCGUUGAUUUUGUUAUUCGGGCGAUGCCAUAAGAAAAAAGUGCUUUCCCAAUCGAUAUCGGUUGUUUUGUUUUUAUCUUCUACACUUUUAACAAUUUCAGAGUUAUAAAAACUCUUCUCCAUUUUCU